GAAUAUUGGACAAUGGGCGAAAGCCUGGUCCAGCCAUGCCGCGUGUGUGAAGAAGGUCUUCGGAUUGUAAAGCACUUUAAGUUGGGAGGAAGGGUUGUAACCUAAUCCGUUGCAAUUUUGACGUUACCGACAGAAUAAGCACCGGCUAACUCUGUGCCCGCAGCCGCGGUAAGACAGAGGGUGCAAGCGUUAAUCGGGAUUACUGGGCGUAAAGCGCGCGUAGGUGGUUGGUUAAGUUGGAUGUGAAAGCCCCGGGCUCAACCUGGGAACUGCAUCCAAAACUGGCCGGCUAGAGUACGGUAGAGGGUGGUGGAAUUUCCUGUGUAGCGGUGAAAUGCGUAGAUAUAGGAAGGAACACCAGUGGCGAAGGCGACCACCUGGACUGAUACUGACACUGAGGUGCGAAAGCGUGGGGAGCAAACAGG
This 425-nucleotide ribosomal RNA is filed under the name uncultured bacterium. RNAcentral describes it as "bacterial SSU rRNA". It matches the Rfam family "Bacterial small subunit ribosomal RNA", at positions 359 to 776 of the family's 1533-position model. The record is from RNAcentral.